CGGGGCUUAGUGCCGGAGCUAACGCAAUAAGCACUCCGCCUGGGGAGUACGACCGCAAGGUUGAAACUCAAAGGAAUUGACGGGGGCCCGCACAAGCGGUGGAGCAUGUGGUUUAAUUCGAAGCAACGCGAAGAACCUUACCAGGUCUUGACAUCCCGAUGCUAUUCUUAGAGAUAGGAAGUUACUUCGGUACAUCGGAGACAGGUGGUGCAUGGUUGUCGUCAGCUCGUGUCGUGAGAUGUUGGGUNNNNNNNNNNNNNCGAGCGCAACCCUUAUUGUUAGUUGCCAUCAUUAAGUUGGGCACUCUAGCGAGACUGCCGGUAAUAAACCGGAGGAAGGUGGGGAUGACGUCAAAUCAUCAUGCCCCUUAUGACCUGGGCUACACACGUGCUACAAUGGCCGGUACAACGAGAUGCGAGCCGGUGACGGCAAGCUAAUCUCUGAAAGCCGAUCUCAGUUCGGAUUGGAGGCUGCAACUCGCCUCCAUGAAGUCGGAAUCGCUAGUAAUCGCGGAUCAGCACGCCGCGGUGAAUACGUUCCCGGGCCU
RNAcentral lists this ribosomal RNA (547 nucleotides) under uncultured bacterium. Its description in RNAcentral is "partial 16S ribosomal RNA". It matches the Rfam family "Bacterial small subunit ribosomal RNA", at positions 834 to 1381 of the family's 1533-position model. The record is from RNAcentral.